RNAcentral lists this long non-coding RNA (232 nucleotides) under Hordeum vulgare. RNAcentral describes it as "long non-coding RNA (HVUL_LNC011497)". The record is from RNAcentral. Lineage: Eukaryota; Viridiplantae; Streptophyta; Magnoliopsida; Poales; Poaceae.
CCCACAUAUUACCAUCUUCAUAUCUCAAAACUAUUGUAGAGAAUCAAACAUAUCAUAUUCAGUGAUCUACAAGUUUUAUGUAGGAUUUUACUACUAACCAUGUAAAUGACUAAUUCCUAUUGACUCUCUAAAUAGGUACAUGUGAAGCAUGAGAGUUUAAUUCUUUCUACAAACGACCAUGCUCUAAUAAAUAUAAGUGUAGCAAAAGAUCAUUCUACAAAUAACGGUUUUC